GCAAGCUUGGCUGAGGGCAUGCCAUCUUCUACGAUUGUUGAUGAGGUAGUCUUUGCUUCACUCCUAUUUCCAUCUUGUUCGUUGUAGUGAGGAUCUUUAAUAUUGGCAAUUUUCUUUGCAGGAUGCUGACAAAAUUGUGCGUUCUAUCCAAGACUUAUUCGCUUCCUGGGGGCAAGUCCAGACGUCUCGCCCUGCUCCAUUUGAUCAUCCUGCU
This 214-nucleotide long non-coding RNA is filed under the name Olea europaea (common olive). RNAcentral's name for it is "long non-coding RNA (OEUR_LNC000616)". Lineage: Eukaryota; Viridiplantae; Streptophyta; Magnoliopsida; Lamiales; Oleaceae. The record is from RNAcentral.